Molecule: long non-coding RNA, 986 nt
Organism: Hippocampus zosterae (dwarf seahorse)
Lineage: Eukaryota; Metazoa; Chordata; Actinopteri; Syngnathiformes; Syngnathidae
Exons: 3
Source: RefSeq, a predicted model, not a curated record
UCUGUUCUUCGAAAUUAGGUCUCCAAAAUGUGACGAAGGAUGAUACAAUGCACACCCUGUACCAUGUUGCAGGAAGCCGGAGCCUAGCCUAGCUGACUACGCUACACUCUGGAUUAAUUAUCAGUCAGUCUCAAGGCACCUUUCGAGACGGACAACCAUUUCCUCUCACAUUCCAAACAUAUAACACCGUCACUGAGUGGAAACUGAUUCCACUCUGGCUGUACUGAAGUGAAGUAAUUUCAAUCUAUGAAAAUCUAUGAGAGGCGAUCAACUGACAUGAUGACCUGAUGUGAACGAUGACCUAGGCGCCGGUACUUGCAGCCGUCCACGCCUUAAACAUGACCGGUACAUCCCUUGACAUGAGCGUGCAGAUGAAAGGCCGCAGAAGACAGCAGCUUGUCAAAAAGCAGCAGCUCCCGGCAGGUGUGAAGCCGACCAGAAGAACGACAGGUUAUCAUCAGCCUGCUGCAUGAGAAAAUGAGUUGUGUUGCCGUCAAGUCCUGAUGUCUCAUUCUUACCUCUGUUUGCACUCCCCAACUCGCUUCAAAUAUGACAGACGCUUCGUUGUUUACAAAUAGUUGAGGACAACACUGGGUGGCUUGCUCGUAGCAACGUCAUUUUUGUAAUUAUUCAACAACUCAUGUUAAGAAAAAAAAAUGCACUUUGGGGUCACUAUUUUUGUACCCAGCAAAGUGCAAUCUAACUGUGCACAUCGGUGGAGUUUUUUUUAGUUUUGGUAUUUUUAUAGACGGGCGCAGUAAGAAAAUGGAUGUUUGCAUAGUUGUGGGAGCGAACACAGUUGCCAUGAUUUCUGGCCCAUUGAUGUGGGUCCUUUCAGUCACACACAUGCUUUACAUGUAGUGUAAAUAAAACAACCUUUAAAUUGUAUUCUAUUUUAUAACAUUUAAUUGUGCACCAUCCAAUAUUAAACAAUUAAAAAUAUUACACCGUUAUAUUUAUAAUACGAUAUACGCAGUACAGAAAAU